UGACUGACGAGAGGUCACAGUGUGUUGGACUU
This 32-nucleotide non-coding RNA is filed under the name Homo sapiens (human). Lineage: Eukaryota; Metazoa; Chordata; Mammalia; Primates; Hominidae. The record is from RNAcentral.